RNAcentral lists this ribosomal RNA (272 nucleotides) under uncultured eukaryote. RNAcentral's name for it is "partial 18S ribosomal RNA". It matches the Rfam family "Eukaryotic small subunit ribosomal RNA", at positions 1299 to 1458 of the family's 1831-position model. The record is from RNAcentral.
UGGUGGAGUGAUUUGUCUGGUUAAUUCCGUUAACGAACGAGACCUUUACCUGCUAAAUAGUCCGGGCUCCUUGGUAGGGUUUUUGGGGUCGGCGUCGAAGGACGGGGCAACCCGCCCGACGGCGUCGGUCCCGCCCUACCUCCAAAGGGAGUACCGGCGGUGCGUCGAGAGUGGCUCCGCGAGGGGUCAUUUCCCGGCGCACCGGUUCGCUUCUUAGAGGGACAUUGUAGCGUUUAUUCAAAAAUAGCGCACGGAAGUUAAAGGCAAUAACA